This 253-nucleotide ribosomal RNA is filed under the name uncultured microorganism. RNAcentral's name for it is "partial 16S ribosomal RNA". It matches the Rfam family "Bacterial small subunit ribosomal RNA", at positions 524 to 776 of the family's 1533-position model. The record is from RNAcentral.
UACGUAGGGUGCGAGCGUUAAUCGGAUUUACUGGGCGUAAAGGGCGCGUAGGCGGCCGGGCAAGUCUGGUGUGAAAGCCCAGGGCUCAACCCUGGAAGGGCACUGGAAACUGUCUGGCUUGAGUUCCGGAGAGGAGGGGGGAAUUCCCGGUGUAGCGGUGAAAUGCGUAGAUAUCGGGAGGAAUACCGGUGGCGAAGGCGCCCCUCUGGACGGGUACUGACGCUGAGGCGCGAAAGCGUGGGGAGCAAACAGG